AUAUUGCACACACUGGGGGGAUGAGAAGCCCCGACCGGGGUUCGACAACUGGCGCAGCCAGUUGGACAGACCACGAACGCAGUGAGUGGGCUGCCCGCAGGGCGAGCGAAGCGAGUCAAUCCCCCCCUCACCGCCA
RNAcentral lists this small RNA (136 nucleotides) under Escherichia coli. RNAcentral's name for it is "RtT sRNA". It matches the Rfam family "RtT RNA". Rfam says of the family: This family represents a bacterial cis-regulatory element known as RtT RNA. The exact function of RtT is unknown although it is thought that it may be involved in changing the cellular response in relation to amino acid starvation. The record is from RNAcentral. Lineage: Bacteria; Pseudomonadati; Pseudomonadota; Gammaproteobacteria; Enterobacterales; Enterobacteriaceae.